GAAAUCUUAGGUAAAUCCGGGGUUUCAAGGCCGAGAGCUGAUGACGAGUCGUCUUUUAGAUGACGAAGUGGUUGAUGCCAUGCUUCCAAGAAAAGCUUCUAAGCUUCAGGUAACCAGGAACCGUGCCCCAAACCGACACAGGUGGUCGGGUAGAGAAUACCAAGGCGCUUGAGAGAACUCGGGUGAAGGAACUAGGCAAAAUGGCACCGUAACUUCGGGAGAAGGUGCGCCGGCUAGGGUGAAGGAUUUACUCCGUAAGCUCUGGCUGGUCGAAGAUACCAGGCCGCUGCGACUGUUUAUUAAAAACACAGCACUCUGCAAACACGAAAGUGGACGUAUAGGGUGUGACGCCUCCCCGGUGCCGGAAGGUUAAUUGAUGGGGUUAGCGCAAGCGAAGCUCUUGAUCGAAGCCCCGGUAAACGGCGGCCGUAACGAUAACGGUCCUAAGGUAGCGAAAUUCCUUGUCGGGUAAGUUCCGACCUGCACGAAUGGCGUAACGAUGGCGGCGCUGUCUCCACCCGAGACUCAGUGAAAUUGAAAUCGCUGUGAAGAUGCAGUGUAUCCGCGGCUAGACGGAAAGACCCCGUGAACCUUUACUGUAGCUUUGCACUGGACUUUGAGCCUGCUUGCGUAGGAUAGGUGGAGGCUUUGAAGCGUGGACGCCAGUUCGCGUGGAGCCAUCCUUGAAAUACCACCCUGGCAUGCUUGAGGUUCUAACUCUGGUCCGUAAUCCGGAUCGAGGACAGUGUAUGGUGGGCAGUUUGACUGGGGCGGUCUCCUCCUAAAGAGUAACGGAGGAGUACGAAGGUGCGCUCAGACCGGUCGGAAAUCGGUCGCAGAGUAUAAAGGCAAAAGCGCGCUUGACUGCGAGACAGACACGUCGAGCAGGUACGAAAGUAGGUCUUAGUGAUCCGGUGGUUCUGUAUGGAAGGGCCAUCGCUCAACGGAUAAAAGGUACUCCGGGGAUAACAGGCUGAUACCGCCCAAGAGUUUAUAUCGACGGCGGUGUUUGGCACCUCGAUGCCGGCUCAUCACAUCCUGGGGCUGAAGCCGGUCCCAAGGGUAUGGCUGUUCGCCAUUUAAAGUGGUACGCGAGCUGGGUUUAGAACGUCGUGAGACAGUUCGGUCCCUAUCUGCCGUGGACGUUUGAGAUUUGAGAGGGGCUGCUCCUAGUACGAGAGGACCGGAGUGGACGAACCUCUGGUGUUCCGGUUGUCACGCCAGUGGCAUUGCCGGGUAGCUAUGUUCGGAAAAGAUAACCGCUGAAAGCAUCUAAGCGGGAAACUUGCCUCAAGAUGAGAUCUCACUGGGAACUUGAUUCCCCUGAAGGGCCGUCGAAGACUACGACGUUGAUAGGCUGGGUGUGUAAGCGUUGUGAGGCGUUGAGCUAACCAGUACUAAUUGCCCGUGAGGCUUGACC
Molecule: ribosomal RNA, 1420 nt
Filed under: metagenome
Description: bacterial LSU rRNA
Rfam family: Bacterial large subunit ribosomal RNA
Source: RNAcentral